AAAGUCGUAACAAGGUAACCGUAGGUGAACCUGCGGUUGGAUCAUUAACAAUUUUAACAGGGGCUUGUCUUCGGAUGAGCUCCUGUGAAAAAUCAAUCACCUUUUGUGCACUGUAUGUCUCUGGCGGCCGGGGCAACGUAACCUAUUUUGCAAAAAUGGGCUGCAUUGCUCUGUCAGCUUGGUUCACUUGUGGACCAGGCCGUGGACAAACCGCCAACCAUUUUGUUUAACUCCCUGUUUUAAUCUACUGUCUUACAAUUUACCUUGUAUUAAAAAUACAAUAAAACUUUUGGCAACGGAUCUCUUGGCUCUC
This 313-nucleotide unclassified non-coding RNA is filed under the name Chytridiomycota sp. RNAcentral's name for it is "partial contains small subunit ribosomal RNA, internal transcribed spacer 1, and 5.8S ribosomal RNA". The stretch from base 1 to 47 matches the Rfam family "Eukaryotic small subunit ribosomal RNA", at positions 1785 to 1831 of the family's 1831-position model. The record is from RNAcentral. Lineage: Eukaryota; Fungi; Chytridiomycota.